AGCGAACGCUGGCGGCAGGCCUAACACAUGCAAGUCGAACGAACCUUUCGGGGUUAGUGGCGGACGGGUGAGUAACACGUGGGAACGUGCCUUUAGGUUCGGAAUAACUCAGGGAAACUUGUGCUAAUACCGAAUGUGCCCUUCGGGGGAAAGAUUUAUCGCCUUUAGAGCGGCCCGCGUCUGAUUAGCUAGUUGGUUGAGGUAAUGGCUCACCAAGGCGACGAUCAGUAGCUGGUCUGAGAGGAUGAUCAGCCACAUUGGGACUGAGACACGGCCCAAACUCCUACGGGAGGCAGCAGUGGGGAAUCGUGCGCAAUGGGAGAAAGCCUGACGCAGCCAUGCCGCGUGAAUGAUGAAGGUCUUAGGAUUGUAAAAUUCUUUCAACGGGGACGAUAAUGACGGUACCCGGAGAAGAAGCCCCGGCUAACUUCGUG
This 434-nucleotide ribosomal RNA is filed under the name uncultured bacterium. RNAcentral's name for it is "partial 16S ribosomal RNA". It matches the Rfam family "Bacterial small subunit ribosomal RNA", at positions 29 to 507 of the family's 1533-position model. The record is from RNAcentral.